RNAcentral lists this ribosomal RNA (253 nucleotides) under uncultured bacterium. Its description in RNAcentral is "partial 16S ribosomal RNA". It matches the Rfam family "Bacterial small subunit ribosomal RNA", at positions 524 to 776 of the family's 1533-position model. The record is from RNAcentral.
UACGUAGGGUGCAAGCGUUGUCCGGAAUUAUUGGGCGUAAAGAGCUCGUAGGCGGUUUGUCGCGUCUGCUGUGAAAACGCGAGGCUCAACCUCGCGCCUGCAGUGGGUACGGGCAGACUAGAGGUAGGUAGGGGAGAAUGGAAUUCCCGGUGUAGCGGUGAAAUGCGCAGAUAGUCGGAGGAACACCGGUGGCGAAGGCGGUUCUCUGGGCCUUACCUGACGCUGAGGAGCGAAAGCGUGGGGAGCGAACAGG